This 239-nucleotide ribosomal RNA is filed under the name uncultured fungus. Its description in RNAcentral is "partial 18S ribosomal RNA". The stretch from base 74 to 239 matches the Rfam family "Eukaryotic small subunit ribosomal RNA", at positions 738 to 905 of the family's 1831-position model. The record is from RNAcentral. Lineage: Eukaryota; Fungi.
CGCCUCACCGCGUGCACUGGUCCGGCCGGGCCUUUCCUCCUGGGGAGCCGCAUGCCCUUCACUGGGUGUGUCGGGGAACCAGGACUUUUACUUUGAAAAAAUUAGAGUGUUCAAAGCAGGCCUAUGCUCGAAUACAUUAGCAUGGAAUAAUAGAAUAGGACGUGUGGUUCUAUUUUGUUGAUUUCUAGGACCGCCGUAAUGAUUAAUAGGGAUAGUCGGGGGCAUCAGUAUUCAAUUGU